Long non-coding RNA from Carassius gibelio (silver crucian carp), 531 nucleotides. RefSeq lists it as uncharacterized. The record is from RefSeq and is a predicted model, not a curated record. The transcript is spliced from 4 exons. Lineage: Eukaryota; Metazoa; Chordata; Actinopteri; Cypriniformes; Cyprinidae.
GGCUUCUGAAUCGGAAACUGUGGUUUGGGUAGUUGUUGAACUGGCUUCUGAAGUGGAAACUGUGGUUUAGGUUGUUGAACUGGCUUCUGAAGUGGAAACUGCUGGUUAGUUGGUUGUUGAACUGGCUUCUGAAGUGGAAACUGUGGUUUAGGUUGUUGUUGAACUGGCUUCUGAAGUGGAAACUGCUGGUAAGUUGGUUGUUGAACCGGCUUCUGAAGUGGAAACUGCUCGUAAGUUGGUUGUUGAACUGGCUUCUGAAGUGGAAACUGCUGGUAAGUUGGUUGUUGAACCGGCUUCUGAAGCGGAAACUGUGGUUUAGUUGGUUGUUGAACCGGCUUCUGAAGCGGAAACUGUGGUUUAGGUUGUUGUUGAACCGGCUUCUGAAGUGGAAACUGCUGGUAAGUUGGUUGUUGAACCGGCUUCUGAAGUGGAAACUGCUGGGUCAUCAGAGAUUGAACAUCCUGAAGCGAUUUACUCCAGUGUGGAACAGCAUGACAGAAAGCACAAACCAGCAAAAUCUGAACCGAACAC